ACUAGAGUACUAUGAAUGGUUGUAAAUUUAAAACUCAAAGAACUUGGCGGUGUUUUAGACCACUUAGGGGAACCUGUCUCGUAAUCGACAAUCCACGUUGUACCUGACCUUUUUUGUUUUCAGUUUGUAUACCGUUGUCGUCAGGUAACUUUUUAGAAAGUAGGAGUUGGCUGGAGAAAUAAGGAUGAUUUAAUACGUCAAAUCAAGGUGCAGCUAAUAAAAAGGGGAGGAUGGGUUACAAUUAUAUAUUUAUAAUUACGGAUGAUUGUGUGUAAACGUGAUCUGUGAAGGUGGACUUAAAAGUAAAUUAAAUUAUAGGAAUAAUUUGAAUGAGGCUCUGAAACGUGU
This 348-nucleotide ribosomal RNA is filed under the name Terebra sp. MNHN IM 2013-52399. RNAcentral's name for it is "partial 12S ribosomal RNA". RNAcentral also lists the same sequence under 2 other names. The record is from RNAcentral. Lineage: Eukaryota; Metazoa; Mollusca; Gastropoda; Neogastropoda; Terebridae.